ACAAUGGGCGCAAGCCUGAUGGAGCAACACCGCGUGAGUGAAGAAGGGUUUCGGCUCGUAAAGCUCUGUUGUUAAAGAAGAACACGUAUGAGAGUAACUGUUCAUACGUUGACGGUACUUAACCAGAAAGUCACGGCUAACUACGUGCCAGCAGCCGCGGUAAUACGUAGGUGGCAAGCGUUAUCCGGAUUUAUUGGGCGUAAAGAGAGUGCAGGCGGUUUUCUAAGUCUGAUGUGAAAGCCUUCGGCUUAACCGGAGAAGUGCAUCGGAAACUGGAUAACUUGAGUGCAGAAGAGGGUAGUGGAACUCCAUGUGUAGCGGUGGAAUGCGUAGAUAUAUGGAAGAACACCAGUGGCGAAGGCGGCUACCUGGUCUGCAACUGACGCUGAGACUCGAAAGCAUGGGUGGCGAACAGGAUUAGAUACCCUGGUAG
Molecule: ribosomal RNA, 433 nt
Filed under: uncultured bacterium
Lineage: Bacteria
Description: bacterial SSU rRNA
Rfam family: Bacterial small subunit ribosomal RNA
Source: RNAcentral